Molecule: ribosomal RNA, 313 nt
Filed under: uncultured bacterium
Lineage: Bacteria
Description: bacterial SSU rRNA
Rfam family: Bacterial small subunit ribosomal RNA
Source: RNAcentral
AAAGGUCCGCCGCGUGAGGAGCGGCCUACACGAUAUUAGCUUAGUUGGGUAGGGUAAGUGGCCCUACCGAAGGCUACGAUGUCGUAGGGGGUGUGAGAGCAUCGGCCCCCACGACCGGAACUGAGAUACUGUCCGGACACCUACGGGUGGCUGCAGUCGAGAAUCUUCCGCAAUGGACGAAAGUCUGACGGAGCGACGCCGCGUGCGGGAUGAAGGCCCUUGGGUUGUAAACCGCUGUCAGAGGGGAUGAAAUCUUCGGAGGUGCUCCUCCAAAGUUGACAGAGCCUCAAAGGAAGCACGGGCUAAGUACGUG